RNAcentral lists this long non-coding RNA (4475 nucleotides) under Olea europaea (common olive). RNAcentral describes it as "long non-coding RNA (OEUR_LNC002059)". The record is from RNAcentral. Lineage: Eukaryota; Viridiplantae; Streptophyta; Magnoliopsida; Lamiales; Oleaceae.
UUCGAAGAUAAAUUUGAUUUCAACACUAUUCAAAAAAUUUAUUCAGUUCAAUUUCAUGUAAUUCAAUUUUGUUUCAGAGAGAACCUAUCAUAAAUUGAAGAAAAAGUUCAAUGUAAAACUUGGCAUAUAGGGAAACUAGGAUGAGCUUAUGUGGUUCAGACUUAUGCCUACUAAAACUGGAUUCAAUAUGGCCGAGGAUCAUCUGUUUUCCAGGUAAUUAUCGUUAAACCACUAUUUUUUGGGAUCCAACUUCAUAUCUGUUUAUUUUGAUAACCUAAAAUUAUCUACUACCUGUUCGAUGUUUUGCCACAGUUAUGCUUUCUAAUUUCAUAAUCAACAUUUCACACUUUGAAACUGAUUCUAGAAUAGCAAAUUUAGUUGCGCAUUUUUGUUGUGCAAAAGUGCUAAUACAGAGUUCAAAAGAGAUAAGUGAACUAGUAAUCAAUGGGCCAAGAAAAUAUUCUUUCCUUUCAUCUUGGUUCCAGCUGGGUAAUGGUGGUCCCACAUAAUGAAUUGCUAGCUAUACUUUCAGUUAAAAAUGCAUCUCUUUCUGUGAAAAAACCGGGCUGAUUUGCCGGAGGUAAUGCAAUUUCAUUGUCCAACAUUGCAACCACAGUAGUCAUGCUUGGUCUAUCAUCUGGACACUGUUGAACGCAUAAAAGACCCAUGUGGAUUAAUCGUAGAACUUCAGAUGGAUUAGCCGAGUCACGUAGAUAAGGGUCAACUAGUUCAAAUGACCUUCCAUCCUUAUAAAGUGUCCAUGCCUGUAGAAGUUUGACCACAGUAACAGGCCUUGUCAUCAGGUUUAGUAGAAUGUAAAUAAACAUGUAUGUUAACAUAUCUAAGAUAAUAAUUACAUGUCCAAGAAGGUUGAGGUGUUGAUCUUCAGCAGAAAAUCCACUAUUUCUCUUGCCACUCACAAUUUCUAGCACCGAAACACCAAAGCUAAAUACAUCUGAUUUUACUGAGAACCGACCAUGCACUGCAUAUUCAGGUGACAUGUAGCCGCUGCAUGAGAAUUUUAGUCAGAAAAUAUUGUUACAAGCAAUAAAAAUGCAUGCCUUGUGUUUAUGUUGUUGAGAAUCUUACUAUGUUCCAACCACUUUGCUUGUUAAAACUUCGUUCUCAUUCUCUCGAAAAGUUCUAGCAAUUCCGAAAUCUGAUAUCUUUGGAUCCAUGUCAAUAUCUAGUAAUAUGUUGCUUGCUUUGAGGUCUCUAUGAAUAAUUCUCAACCGGGAAUCUUGAUGAAUAUACAUAAGUCCUCGAGCAACUCCAUUAACAACUUGGAGGCGCUUAGGCCAAUUAAGUAAUGUACAUCUUGUUUGAUCUGCCAAAAUAUAUGGGAGUCAUUAUAUACCUCAUCCAGUUGUCUUAUGCUUGGAGAAUAGAUAUUAAUUCCAAAAUCUUAAGUUUAUUCUGGGAAGCCAUAAUGCAGAAGGGUACAUGUAUCAAAAGAGCAAUGCUUUCCUAUAAUUAUGCAAUCACCUAGGUUUCAGUUCUGUACUAGCAUUAAUCUUCAAUUACUAGCAUGUUUAUGAAGAUGCCACUGACCAUAUUGUUCAAACAAUGAGUUAAAAGUGGUAGAUAUUCAUUUUGUCUCUAUAUUAAAUUAAUACUCCAAAUUUAAGGUAAUUUUGAACUGAUUGUACUAGAGUUAAAAAUCCUCACCAAAUAAAAUCAAGUCCAGGCUUUUGUUGGGCAUGUAUUCAUAGAUCAACAUCUUCUCCUGUCCCUGAAUGCAGCAUCCUAGAAGCUUCACAAGAUUUCGAUGCUGAAGUUUGGCAAUACAAAUAACUUCAUUCAUGAAUUCAUCAAGUCCUUGCAUGGAUGUUUUUGACAACCUUUUCACAGCAAUAUCUUGACCGUCUUCCAGCAUCCCCUGAGAUCAUAACUUGUGCAAUUGAAAACGUAUUCACUAAAUGAACUUUUUACUCUUUCUCAACUUAUAUUCGUGCUUCAUGUAUGAAGCUCAACUACAUUUAUUCAUUUUCUACAAGAGUUAACUCAAGGCAUCUCAUCUCAAAUGAUGUUUACUAGUCUUGUCAUUCUUCUGUGGUGUUCCACUAACUUGCUCAAAGUACUCUCAGAAAACUACUUGCAGAUUGUGCACAUUUUUACCUUAUAAACAGGCCCAUAUCCACCUUGUCCAAGCUUGUUGUUGAUUGAAAAGUUAUUGGUGGCCUUUGAAAUUGUAGAUAAGUCGAACAAUGGCAGCUCAUGGUCUUCGUUAUGGCUUGCUGAAACAUGAAACAUGAGUAAUAGGAGGAUAUAGUUUAUCAAAGAGAACUUGGAAAGAGGAAAUACUGCUCUGUCAGAUGUGCUUGCAGUUUUCAUGCUUAUUUAUAGGUUUAUUUGCAUGUAUAUGUUGUUCUCCAUGCUCUUGGACUAGUUUUUUCAUUAUAUUUUUUCAGAGUAAAAUGGCUCAGGUUGCUUACCUCUUGCUGUCUUUUUGUAACUUUUUUUCUUUUUCCAGUAAUACAGCAUCGAGCUCAGGCCCAGCAGAAUCAUUCCCAUCAAUGAUGUCAAACUCAAUAUCAAUAGUUUUCUUCUUUUUCCUUUCGUAUCUGCAACAAGUUUAAUCCAGAAAAAACAAAAAAUUGAUUAGUCGUUCAUGAUAAGGCCUUCAAAUUGUGUUAGACUAAAUGUAAACGUAACAUUUACAUUGUUAGAAGUUUGCCAGCUUGUGGGAUAAUAAGAAAUACAAUCUUUGUUUAGUGUAGGAUAUUGACUUUUUGAUUGAUUAUUUUUUCAUAUUCUUACCAAACUCGGAAGAAGCCAUUCUAAUGUAAAUAUCUUGUCCGUUGACAGAUAGAUCUCUGAUGUCAACUAGGUCUCCAAACCAAAAUAAGCAUCCGCUUCCCUCUUUGCUAAUAUCUAAUUGUGUGUAUGCCAUGCAAGAGCAAUUCUUUAAACACUCCACUCUGCAUUCUUCAAUUGUCAUGUUCUUGUUAAACCUAGAAUAUCGCGAGUCAGGUAAUUUAAUUCCAGAAUACUUCAAAAAUACAUCACCCUUUGAACAAUUCAAGGGUUUCCUUCGGAUGCACCCAUUUGACCAAUCUGACCUAAUCCAAUCUUGUGCAUCUUUUGGCACAAAUUUAUCAAGACAUCCACAUGAAGGAGAAUUUCCAAUAUUGCAUCUGCCAUAAGCACCACAUAAUUUGUAAGUAUCACAAAUAUCUGCUGGUAUAUUCAGGUACACAACCCAGUCCUGGAUUCGAUCUACCCAUGUCAUGCGCUGUACAACUCCACUCUGACUCAGAGUAACCCUUGAAAUAACCGACUUGUCAAUGGCUUCUUCCCAAUAGUAUGUCCUGUUCUUGCUCAUGAAUAAUCCAUAUGCGUAUGUUGGAUCCUGCCUUGCAUUUGGUAUCCCACUAAGACGAAUGCCAUUCCAGGGCCCAAUUCUACACACGAUUAGAUUACCUCUUUUUAUGAUGCCCUGAGGAUAUCCAGUUGUAUCCAAGUGAAAUGUAAAAUUUCCUGGAGAUGGAUCUUCAUUGGUCUUCCAUGAUGUCAGAAAGCUCUCUCUACCUGUUACAUAAUUCAAACCAAAUUUUGUGCUUGGUAGAGUUGUAUCACUUAAAUAUUCAAAACUCUGCCAAAGAAAAUUCUCUGGAUUAUCAUCCCUUGCUUCUCUAAGGACCAGGUUUCCUGAGUCCAACAAUUGCAAAAUUGGAUUUUGAGCAACUGUUGAAGUAUUCAAAAACCAUACUAUGUUAUUAGUGUUGUUCAGAAUAGCUAACAAACCUGGCUCAAUGACCUUCAAGAUGCCUGAUACACUUGUUAGCGGAGUUUCCUUGUUGGCAACCCAAACCACAGUGUUACCAGGUAUCUUCUUGUACCAAAUUCCCACGUACCGAUUCCUGGAGUUACCUGGGCUAAAAAAUCCCAGUUCAAAGACUCCCCCAUAUGAAACUAGGGUGUCACCAUCUCUGAGGAUCUGAGUUGUAUUGAUGGUAUCAAUUGCAGUGGAAAUCUUCGAGAUGGACAGUAAAAAUAGUAAGACAAUAAUAAAUGACAUAUCUUUGGUAGAUUUCUUCAUGGCUAAUUGUUUCUAUGUUUUGCUUUGUGUUUUUGUCUUCAACUUUCAAUAUACGGUAUUUGAAUCUGAAGAAACAGCAAUUGCUAGGCCACAGUAAUCAUUCUAAUAUAUUCCUUGCAAUUUCUCCAUUGUUGGUCCACCAUUUGUAAUAUUCUCAAUUGACCUCAAUUGGGCUGUCUUAUGUAUGACUUGACUUGAUUGGAUUCUAGAUUACCAUAGACUUGUUCAGUUAACAGGAUAUUUGUUUGAAAAUUGACAAACUGGCAGUAUGUAGACUUUGAAUGCUGAGCGGAUAUCAAUAAUUUGCCGGCAAUGGAAAACUUAAAACAAUAUAAAAUUAAUUUUCUUAAUUUCUUAUUGUGGUUCAUUGAUUAUUCGAAGAAUUUAUAUACUACUUCACUUGCUGUUCUUACUGUAUGCAGAUCAGGAGCUA